AGUCUAUAGAGUGGAUGAUAUGGUCCAGGCAUGGUAGUUAGAGCAGGGUGGAGGACAUUCAUGUCAGGUGGAGUAACUCUUCCAUAUGGAGAGAGAUUUGUAGGUGUGCUCCAGAGGUUCUAGCCCAGAUGACAUGGUGUUUGGGGGAUGGACAGUCGAUUGACCUCUGGUAGGAUCCUUGGCUAUCAGAGCUUCCUCUGAGUUGGUGGCUGACCUUCAUUAGCUCGUAGGUUGGUGAUCGGAUGUGGG
RNAcentral lists this long non-coding RNA (249 nucleotides) under Elaeis guineensis (African oil palm). RNAcentral describes it as "long non-coding RNA (EGUI_LNC035620)". Lineage: Eukaryota; Viridiplantae; Streptophyta; Magnoliopsida; Arecales; Arecaceae. The record is from RNAcentral.